GUGUACACAAGACGCCAUUUUGGAUUAUCUACAUGAGAUUUGAACUGCGUGCCUCUGUUUGAAACUCCAAGGUACUUACAAGAAAGGAUAAUUGGAUAAUUUGGAUAUUUUCGACGAGGAUCCGACCGUGUGAAUGUCUUGAGAAGAGAAAGGGGGUAACUUUAGCCUAAUUUAGCAAGCUAACGAUAGCUGGAGGACUCAUUUUCACAUCACACACAGAUGUCUGCGACCACUGCUAAUCUUGAAAAGAUGGGUAACCUGCCUGUGACUCCUCAUUUGAUUCUGCCUAGUUCAGAUGAUACUUUGGGCCAGUGGAUAAAACAAUGGAUGAUCAGCAUGGAUGGCAGAGUAAUCUGUGAGGGUGAGCAUGCACACUGGAAUUCCUUCAAAGAUGCUUUGCUGGCAUAAAUCCAGAGAGGGGAACCAAGGCUGUGAGAGGAAAUGUGAUGUCAAAAAAAACUGGCAAGACAGUUCAGAAGAAGACCAUGACUGAAAACCCCAAGGUUUCAAACCUUUUAAAGACACUAAUGGACUUUGAAUGGGACUUUAUUUAAAAUGCAGCUAACUUGCACCCCCCUACUUUUGCAACACAGAGGGCUUUUUUCUUUAUUAGCAGAAGCUCAUUUUGGGGCUAUAAAUUUUUAUAUUUUAUAUCCAAGACUAAAUUGUAAAGUGGCUAUUUAUUAAUUUUUUAUAUGACAUUCGGUAAGUUGCUUCUUGUUGUACAAUGCUGAAUACAAUAUUAACAUUUCUGGAGAACUUACAAUUUUUGCCUGUUCUUUGGCUUAAUAUUUUCACAAACACAAUGCAGAUUUUAUUUUGUGUUGUUUGAAAAUAAAAAUGUGAAAU
This is a non-coding RNA of Danio rerio (zebrafish), 849 nucleotides long. The record is from Ensembl. Lineage: Eukaryota; Metazoa; Chordata; Actinopteri; Cypriniformes; Danionidae.